UGGUGGAGUGAUUUGUCUGGUUAAUUCCGUUAACGAACGAGACCUCGACCUGCUAAAUAGUCCGUAUCAUUUUCGGAUGGUGCGAUUGACUUCUUAGAGGGACUAUCGGUGUGUAGCCGAUGGAAGUUCGAGGCAAUAACA
Molecule: ribosomal RNA, 141 nt
Filed under: uncultured eukaryote
Lineage: Eukaryota
Description: partial 18S ribosomal RNA
Rfam family: Eukaryotic small subunit ribosomal RNA
Source: RNAcentral